UGAUCGUGGUGUGUUGUCAUAUAGACGUCCGAGUGCCAAGGACUCGACAGUCGAUAGAGAACUCCUACAGACGUCGUAAACUUCACGACAAAUACGGCGAGACAUUCCUAGAUCUCUCGACGCCAUCCUUGGAAAAGGUUCCAGUGAGGGAUCUGAUGCGUGAGUAUACCAAAUCGUCCUCUGAAGUGAGAAAGCAUGGCCGAGGAAAUCAAAGACAACCAAUGAGUGAUGGUUCUCAUUACAGUCCUGUUGUAUUAUCGUCAAUAGAGGACAGUGUCCCGCUAUCACGUGACCCGACCAGAUGGCUCGGGGCAAUACACAAAUUAGGAAACCAAAAUAUACCUGGGACGACUCAGUUGUUACAGGCACUAUCCUCAAUAGAAACAAAAGAGUCAUGAUGACAGUAUUUACAGAAAGACAAUUGAAUUGACAGCGAUCCUCGUUCUCCGAGUUCCAGAAGAAAUCGUAUUGAAUUGCAGUUUUAAUUAUUUUUAUAUUUUCAUUGAGUAGGUACAUUAGGAAUUCGCUCGAAUAUGCAGAAGGUCAUGAUGGACUAUUUUUUAUUUUCACAUGAGAAAUAGCAACAUGGAUACAUACUUUGUAUUUGUCGCUGUGUCGACAUCAUUAUAUCUGUAUUUAGCUUCAUUCAAAGAUGGUCAUUCAAAAUACCAAUGACAUGCAGGAAUAAC
Pecten maximus is the source of this 689-nucleotide long non-coding RNA. RefSeq lists it as uncharacterized. Lineage: Eukaryota; Metazoa; Mollusca; Bivalvia; Pectinida; Pectinidae. The transcript is spliced from 3 exons. The record is from RefSeq and is a predicted model, not a curated record.